RNAcentral lists this ribosomal RNA (819 nucleotides) under uncultured Actinomycetes bacterium. RNAcentral describes it as "bacterial SSU rRNA". It matches the Rfam family "Bacterial small subunit ribosomal RNA", at positions 335 to 1167 of the family's 1533-position model. The record is from RNAcentral. Lineage: Bacteria; Bacillati; Actinomycetota; Actinomycetes.
ACUCCUACGGGAGGCAGCAGUGGGGAAUAUUGCACAAUGGGCGAAAGCCUGAUGCAGCAACGCCGCGUGAGGGACGACGGCCUUCGGGUUGUAAACCUCUUUUAGUAGGGAAGAAGCGAAAGUGACGGUACCUGCAGAAAAAGCACCGGCUAACUACGUGCCAGCAGCCGCGGUAAUACGUAGGGUGCAAGCGUUAUCCGGAAUUAUUGGGCGUAAAGAGCUCGUAGGCGGUUUGUCGCGUCUGCUGUGAAAACUGGAGGCUCAACCUCCAGCCUGCAGUGGGUACGGGCAGACUAGAGUGCGGUAGGGGAGAUUGGAAUUCCUGGUGUAGCGGUGGAAUGCGCAGAUAUCAGGAGGAACACCAAUGGCGAAGGCAGAUCUCUGGGCCGUAACUGACGCUGAGGAGCGAAAGCAUGGGGAGCGAACAGGAUUAGAUACCCUGGUAGUCCAUGCCGUAAACGUUGGGAACUAGAUGUAGGGGCCAUUCCACGGUUUCUGUGUCGCAGCUAACGCAUUAAGUUCCCCGCCUGGGGAGUACGGCCGCAAGGCUAAAACUCAAAGGAAUUGACGGGGGCCCGCACAAGCGGCGGAGCAUGCGGAUUAAUUCGAUGCAACGCGAAGAACCUUACCAAGGCUUGACAUAUACCGGAAAAGUGCAGAAAUGUGCUCCCCGCAAGGUCGGUAUACAGGUGGUGCAUGGUUGUCGUCAGCUCGUGUCGUGAGAUGUUGGGUUAAGUCCCGCAACGAGCGCAACCCUCGUUCUAUGUUGCCAGCACGUUAUGGUGGGAACUCAUAGGAGACUGCCGGGGUCAACUCGGA